CCAUAAUUAACAUUCCAGUGGAACACUCAAAAGACCUGGGCCUUCAAAGAAAAAAACCGAGACUUGGGGAGGGCAGGCAGCUGGACCAUCAUCACAACAGCUGGACCAUCAUCACAACAGCUGGUCGUUUUGGAAAUUGUGUUGCAGAUCAGACAAACAUCGUGGUUCACGAAAUCCAUUGGUGUUGAAAGACACAGAAUGAAAUGACUUCAAGUGGAAGUUGGAAGACAACUCACUUGAGAGCCAGUUCUUUCCUGCCUCAGGAUCCCAGGAUUGAACUCAGAUUAUCAUGACUGAGCAUGAACACCUCUACCCACUGAGAUACCUCACCAGACUCAUUCUCUACUGACUUCAUGUCUGUGGCUGCUCAAAUCCCUCCCAGAGCAGACGGCCACCCUCACCAGAGGGUGUGGCUUUGUCUAGUAGGACAUAGUGACUAAGACCAUCACUAGCUGCUGGGUCCCUUGUACACUCUCUGGGCACCUGUCUGAAGACGGUACCUACCCUACUUUGAGAAGAGGAUUCACUGAGUCACUCCAGGCUGCUGUGUCUUUCCUCCUGGAUGCUGCUGCCCUACAUCUGAGAAGAGAAUUGGCCUCAAGCCUGUGAACCAUGCGUGCACUUGGUCUCUUUCCCAAUGUAACUUUUCUACUUAAUAUCACUUUACCAAAUGCAGCCUCUUCCUCUUUU
Peromyscus eremicus (cactus mouse) is the source of this 690-nucleotide long non-coding RNA. RefSeq lists it as uncharacterized. NCBI's taxonomy places the organism in Eukaryota, Metazoa, Chordata, Mammalia, Rodentia, Cricetidae. The record is from RefSeq and is a predicted model, not a curated record. The transcript is spliced from 4 exons.